This 898-nucleotide ribosomal RNA is filed under the name uncultured bacterium. RNAcentral's name for it is "bacterial SSU rRNA". It matches the Rfam family "Bacterial small subunit ribosomal RNA", at positions 33 to 914 of the family's 1533-position model. The record is from RNAcentral.
ACGCUGGCGGCGUGCCUAAUACAUGCAAGUAGAACGCUGAAGGAGGAGCUUGCUUCUCCGGAUGAGUUGCGAACGGGUGAGUAACGCGUAGGUAACCUGCCUGGUAGCGGGGGAUAACUAUUGGAAACGAUAGCUAAUACCGCAUAAGAGUAGAUGUCGCAUGACAUUUGCUUAAAAGGUGCAAUUGCAUCACUACCAGAUGGACCUGCGUUGUAUUAGCUAGUCGGUGGGGUAACGGCUCACCAAGGCGACGAUACAUAGCCGACCUGAGAGGGUGAUCGGCCACACUGGGACUGAGACACGGCCCAGACUCCUACGGGAGGCAGCAGUAGGGAAUCUUCGGCAAUGGACGGAAGUCUGACCGAGCAACGCCGCGUGAGUGAAGAAGGUUUUCGGAUCGUAAAGCUCUGUUGUAAGAGAAGAACGAGUGUGAGAGUGGAAAGUUCACACUGUGACGGUAUCUUACCAGAAAGGGACGGCUAACUACGUGCCAGCAGCCGCGGUAAUACGUAGGUCCCGAGCGUUGUCCGGAUUUAUUGGGCGUAAAGCGAGCGCAGGCGGUUAGAUAAGUCUGAAGUUAAAGGCUGUGGCUUAACCAUAGUACGCUUUGGAAACUGUUUAACUUGAGUGCAAGAGGGGAGAGUGGAAUUCCAUGUGUAGCGGUGAAAUGCGUAGAUAUAUGGAGGAACACCGGUGGCGAAAGCGGCUCUCUGGCUUGUAACUGACGCUGAGGCUCGAAAGCGUGGGGAGCAAACAGGAUUAGAUACCCCUGGUAGUCCACGCCGUAAACGAUGAGUGCUAGGUGUUAGACCCUUUCCGGGGUUUAGUGCCGCAGCUAACGCAUUAAGCACUCCGCCUGGGGAGUACGACCGCAAGGUUGAAACUCAAAGGAAUUGAC